Non-coding RNA from Amborella trichopoda, 1313 nucleotides. The record is from RefSeq and is a predicted model, not a curated record. Lineage: Eukaryota; Viridiplantae; Streptophyta; Magnoliopsida; Amborellales; Amborellaceae.
AGUGGAGGGGUGGGUAAUAAUAUAUAUGAAAAGGGUUUUAUUCUCUGUGGACUCUCAUGUGCGCUCUCUUACCACUCUCUUUUCUCUCUAUAUGCUCUCUCUUACCUCUCUCAUUAAAAAGUUACAGAAAGCUACCAAGAGAUAGGACAGUGGGUUUAUAUAUAAGGUGUUGGGGUUCAAGAAAUUUUUCUCUCUAGAGUUUCAUCUCCAUUGAGUAUAGAAUUCGUGCAUUUUGCGGAGAGAAUGAGGAAUUAGAGAAAACCAAGAGAGGCGAAGAGAUGGUACUCAUUUUUGGUGCAUGAAUUUUUUGGGAUCUUUUCUAUAAUCUAUAGAUCGAUUCAAGUUUAUUUAGAUCCUUUCUUUUAUCAUCCAUUGAUCGAUACAAGUAAAUUUUAUUCAUGUCUUUUUUCCAGUCAAAGUAUUUCAGUCAUAAUUACUGAUUGGGUGAUAUUUUACAAAGAGCGAUCUAUGUUGAUAUCGAUAUUUUGUUUUGAAUAAAUGUUUAAUGUUAUUUUAUUGUCUGGAAAGACAUAUCAGUAUUGUAGCUGUGGUUUUGAAUGGGUCUCUUGAGUGUGCAACUCAAAGACUCAGGAAUUAUAUUUUCGAUUUGGUUGUAUCCUAGGGUGUACUCGCCUGGACCCAUUUGUGGUGAGAUCCUGGCUGCCAUGGUGAAAACUCAUUACGGCAGUGCAGCUGGGGAGCAGAGAGCGUCUGUUGGCUUUCUGUGAUGCUGUUCAAAGAAGUUGUCCGGUUGGUUCUUAUAUCAAGCCCAUUGCUGGUUCAUCUCCUGGAUAUGCUUCUGAGGUAUUCCAGUUUAAGUAGUCUUUGCUCAUGGGACCUUCAUUGAUGGUAGCACAAGCGAGCUUUCAUGUGAUGGGCCAUUGAGGGAGCCAUUUUCUGUUUUUUGUCAGGGAGGUACUCACUGGACCCAGUGGGCAUUAGUUCUUGGAGAGGUUCUAAAAGCCAUUUAGGCUUUCUCUCUGGUCCCCCAAUUGGCUGUUCAUCAUUUGCUAGAUGGUGCACUGCUGAUCCCAUGUGGUGCCUCCCCGCAUUCCCACCGCCUUCUCUCUCUCUCUCACACAUACACACACACUCUCUCUCUCUCGCUCUCACACACACACACACAUGGGUGGGAGGCCAUUCACCGAGAAACACGCGCAUCUGGCAUAUAUCCAACAAAAAACUGUUACAGUCAAACAAAUGAUGUGAUUCAAAGGCAAGAGCAGUUAAAAUAAAAAAAUAUGUAAGAACUAGUAGAAGUGUAGUUAACAUUUUUCUCAAAAUAAAUAUAUCAUUUAAUUUUCAACUUAAAA